CAACCGCCACGGUAAUACGAAGGGGGCUAGCGUUGUUCGGAAUUACUGGGCGUAAAGCGCACGUAGGCGGACAUUUAAGUCAGGGGUGAAAUCCCGGGGCUCAACCCCGGAACUGCCUUUGAUACUGGGUGUCUAGAGUAUGGAAGAGGUGAGUGGAAUUCCGAGUGUAGAGGUGAAAUUCGUAGAUAUUCGGAGGAACACCAGUGGCGAAGGCGGCUCACUGGUCCAUUACUGACGCUGAGGUGCGAAAGCGUGGGGAGCAAACAGGAUUAGAUACCCCUGUAGUCCCUGUCUCUUAUAC
This 301-nucleotide ribosomal RNA is filed under the name uncultured bacterium. Its description in RNAcentral is "partial 16S ribosomal RNA". It matches the Rfam family "Bacterial small subunit ribosomal RNA", at positions 509 to 807 of the family's 1533-position model. The record is from RNAcentral.